RNAcentral lists this ribosomal RNA (109 nucleotides) under Caldimonas sp. The record is from RNAcentral. Lineage: Bacteria; Pseudomonadati; Pseudomonadota; Betaproteobacteria; Burkholderiales; Sphaerotilaceae.
UGACGACCAUAGCGAGGUGGUCCCACUCCUUCCCAUCCCGAACAGGACAGUGAAACGCCUCAGCGCCGAUGAUAGUGCGGUCUUCCCGUGUGAAAGUAGGUCAUCGUCA